ACAUUUUGUAACUGUUAGUCAAUAUGGCAACAUGUAAAAAAUGUAAGAAAAUUAAAGCUUAUAAAAGAAGACUAAAAUAUUACUCGAGUAAUACGCAAAAAGCUCUCGGUUUGGCCAAUAAUGGAUUUUGGAACUUCUUGCGGGAGUUCAGAAGGAAGCAUUACAGGCUGCCGCCAAAAUCUGUGAUCCCACAUGGGGCCAGGGCUUGGUGUAAGCUCACAAGCAAACAGAAGGAGAAGUAUACCAACAUGAAACGGGCCUCAUGGGAACAAGAUCUUUCUUUACUGUGCUUUUUGGCAGAUUUUUGAAACCAAUCCUACCCGUCGCCUCACUUGAUCCAAAUCAAAGCAGCAAAAUAAUCAAAAAAAAACACUUCUUUUAUAUUUUGUGUAUGCCAAAUUUCAAUGUCUGUCACAAUAUUCAAAUUUCCCCAUCCGAUUAUGAGCUGCCAGUGUAUCUAAUGCAACGAUAGGCGAAAAUAAAUUUCCUUUCUUA
Drosophila subobscura is the source of this 495-nucleotide long non-coding RNA. RefSeq lists it as uncharacterized. The record is from RefSeq and is a predicted model, not a curated record. NCBI's taxonomy places the organism in Eukaryota, Metazoa, Arthropoda, Insecta, Diptera, Drosophilidae. The transcript has 2 exons.